UGCAUUUUAGCCUGGGACUAGAAUUACGACUUUGUGAAACCAGGUUCCACUGAUGUAACGUUGCUGUUCCACCGCAUGUGUUAACUAACUUAAUGCUAAUAUUAUACAAAUUUGAAAAAUAUAUAACAUACACAAUUACCUGCUUUGUCAAUUUCGUCGAGCAGAUGUUGAGGUCGUGCCCUUUUGCGCGGAUUUCUCCUCUCCAUUACGUAGCUUUCUUCUGAAUCUGAACUAGAACUGUGUCGUCGAUUCUCCAAUCCUAUUUGCGUAUAACGUCCAUCUCUGCUGAUUAAUUCAAUAAUCUGAUGUGACUCCUCCCCGUCGAGGUCAUUACUCCAAAGUGUAAUAACAUUUAUGGCUGGCUUUAUUCCAGUUAUUCUAAUAUCUUCCAACAACUUAAUAAAACUUUUAUUUUUCAUUUUGUCUUGUUCGAAUUGUAUGCACGCCAUGUUUGGUGCGAUAAAUGGCUCUUGAAUGAAAUGCUGUAAUCUGGAUCUUAACUGUUCUAGAGCACUUAAAUCCAAAACCCUUUUAGGUUUUAUUUCAGAUUUAGAUAUUUUUGUGGUUGUCCAGUGAUUGCUUGCUCUUUUAAUAGCAAAGCUUCGAAAUAAUAUGUUAACAUGAAUAGAUAAAGCUUGUCCAGUGAGUAACGUUACGCACAUACGUUUGCCGCGAACGUAGUACGUAACCUUUCCAAAUAAGGACAAAAAGGCGCCUACCGAAUCAGAAGUCAUUUUACAUGUUUUUCUUAUUCUUUAUUUUAGAUCUCCUUGUAGUUUUUCUUGGUGACAGGUUUUUUGAGCAGCGAGCGAAAUAAUGGGACUUGGAACAAAAGUUGUUUCACUUUGUGAGCAGACCAGCAGAAGAGGUACAAGAAGGUUAAUUAAAUGGCUAAAAAAACACAGACUACUCAAGACAAGAUUUAAAUGCAGACUGUGUAACAAAAAAAUGAAAUUCCAGAGGACACAAACAGGCGAUGGAUACCAAUGGGAAUGUCAAAGACGAACCCACAGCCAAAAAGUAACAAAGACAUGCAGGGCGGGCUCAAUUUUUGAGAAAAGCAAGGUCACCUUACAGAACUGGAUGAAGUUCAUAUACCGGUAGGUAACAUUAAUAUAU
This is a long non-coding RNA of Cyprinus carpio (common carp), 1119 nucleotides long. The record is from Ensembl. NCBI's taxonomy places the organism in Eukaryota, Metazoa, Chordata, Actinopteri, Cypriniformes, Cyprinidae.